This 85-nucleotide transfer RNA is filed under the name Rhizobiaceae bacterium. RNAcentral describes it as "tRNA-Leu". It matches the Rfam family "tRNA". Rfam says of the family: Transfer RNA (tRNA) molecules are approximately 80 nucleotides in length. Their secondary structure includes four short double-helical elements and three loops (D, anti-codon, and T loops). Further hydrogen bonds mediate the characteristic L-shaped molecular structure. tRNAs have two regions of fundamental functional importance: the anti-codon, which is responsible for specific mRNA codon recognition, and the 3' end, to which the tRNAs corresponding amino acid is attached (by aminoacyl-tRNA synthetases). tRNAs cope with the degeneracy of the genetic code in two manners: having more than one tRNA (with a specific anti-codon) for a particular amino acid; and 'wobble' base-pairing, i.e. permitting non-standard base-pairing at the 3rd anti-codon position. The record is from RNAcentral. Lineage: Bacteria; Pseudomonadati; Pseudomonadota; Alphaproteobacteria; Hyphomicrobiales; Rhizobiaceae.
GCGGCUGUGGUGAAAUUGGUAGACACGCUGGAUUUAGGUUCCAGUUCUUUACGGAGUGGGGGUUCAAGUCCCUCCAGCCGCACCA